CAUCCUUCUUUAUAUUUUAUAAAUGAGGUACCAAAAGAAAGAAGAAAGAUUAAUCCUUCAAAUUGUGAUAAUUUCAUUAUGACAUAAUUAUUACAUAAUUAAUUAUUAUGUAAUUAGUUGCUACAUUGUGAUGUCCACACUUGAAUGAAUUUAGCGUCUUUGUUCUUCAUAGCAUCCCAAAAUAUUUUAUAGAAUCUUGUACAAC
This 205-nucleotide long non-coding RNA is filed under the name Mytilus galloprovincialis (Mediterranean mussel). Lineage: Eukaryota; Metazoa; Mollusca; Bivalvia; Mytilida; Mytilidae. The record is from RNAcentral.